AAGCCAUUAUCAACAGCCACAAGGCAGGCUAAUGCAGGAAAUGUGCAUACAAGAACAAGUUUAAUCACUAAAGUACUGUCCAGAUUUAAAGAAGCAUGGCUAGGAAACAAGACAACCAGUUUCUCAGAAUAUAAGAAGUAAGCAGCCUGUUCACAAAGUUUAGCCUUGUUCUAUGUGUUUGAGGGGAGACAGAAAAAGGAGAGAAAUAUCUUUCAAUUAUGUUAGUGUCUUGGUGGGAGGGUACAUGUGAAAAUAGCUUUGUUUUGCUUUUCUGCACAUAAAAAAUACGUUUGAGACACAAUUCAUCAUAAGUGCUAUUUGAAGAAAUAUACUUUUAUGCUAUGAUAAUCUUAGUUAAGCAAAUACAUGUGUUUACAUUAUGAGAAAUGUGCUUGCAGAGUUUAAGACAGCUGAAACUAAAGCUUUGACCACCACCAAACUCUUGGUGUACAGACCUUGACAGACGAACAAAAAGAAGUGCCUGUCACUUCCAUGUGGGCCUAAUCUAUCACCCCAGCAGUGAGGGUUUACCUGUAUUUCUUGUUCAUUGAGUGCUUGUGUUGUCAGCAUCACAGCAUGUUUUUUUUUUCCAUUUAUUUCUUGAUUUUCCUAGUUCAAAAUGAAUAUUUUAACAGGUUGCUGGAUUUGGUGGUUCGUCCUGGUCCUUCCCACUCUGUGGCCCAGGAUGAGACCCAGCAGCAGUCCCCGUGCAGAGCUUCCACUUCUUUUGUGGCAUCCAGCCCCCCGAGAGCAAACACACAUCACUCCAGCUCCCAAAACAAUCUGCCAGGAGCAUCAGAACUGAAUGUACUGGAAACUCCUCUUGUGGUCAAGGUUACUGAAGACAGUGCAGUGACAGCAUAAACUUAAGAAGCAGCACCUAAAAGCCCCACCAUAUAGUGAUCUACAUCCAUAAGGCAAUAUUCAACACAGCUAUGAGACUACAAAGCAUGAAUCUGUAUGUGAUUUGCCUCAGAAAAAUAAAGGUCAGUGUGAUACAGCUGAGGGACA
Molecule: long non-coding RNA, 1011 nt
Filed under: Junco hyemalis (dark-eyed junco)
Lineage: Eukaryota; Metazoa; Chordata; Aves; Passeriformes; Passerellidae
Description: lncRNA (ENSJHYG00000001118.1)
Source: RNAcentral